Molecule: long non-coding RNA, 3403 nt
Organism: Erinaceus europaeus (western European hedgehog)
Lineage: Eukaryota; Metazoa; Chordata; Mammalia; Eulipotyphla; Erinaceidae
Exons: 2
Source: RefSeq, a predicted model, not a curated record
CAGUGGGUUAAGCGCAGGUGGCGCAAAGCACAAGGACCAGCAUAAGGAUCCCGGUUCGAACCCCGGCUCUCCACCUGCAGGGGAGUCGCUUCACAGGCGGUGAAGCAGGUCUGCAGGUGUCUAUCUUUCUCUCCUCCUCUCUGUCUUCCCCUCCUCUCUCCAUUUCUCUCUGUCCUAUCCAACAAUGACAACAACAAUAAUAACUACAACAAUAAAACAACACGGGCAACAAAAGGGAAUAAAAUAAAUAAAAUAAAUAUUUAAAAAAAAAGAAAAAAAAAAAGAAGCUGAGACCCGAAACCUGAAGCAUAGACUUUUAACCCCUUAGUAGUGACCACAAUCAAGUCAAUAUUCCAGUAAAAGUUUUUGAUAAUCAUAUUUUUUUUUCUUGUGGAUGACUAAAGUUUUUACUGGUGAUGAAAAUCUGUAAUAUAAUUUCCCAUGUAGGCUAAAUCAAAGCUUUUUCCCAUCACCCUGAGGUGGGAGAUGGAGUGUGUAACAGCCUUACAACAUUCUAUUUUGCAGGCUUUCUCAGUAGUUCCUGGCUUGGCCUUUCCACCUUUCCCCCCAGCCCUGUCAUUAUCUCAUGAGAGGGCAAAUCUAAACAAACUGAUCAUCUAGCAUAAGUCAGUGGUAAAAGCAAAAUCACUAACAAAAUAAAACAUAAAAGCAGUUAUUUUACCCCAAACCUAACAGCACAGUUGAGAUGCAAAAUUUGUACAAGAGAAAUGUAGCACUGAAAAAGUGAAGCCAGGUUGGAUGACUAUGAAAGACAACAAAUAACAAAAACCAGUUUUCUAAUCUGUGAAAAAUAGGGCUGUGUCUUUGAGAAGAAAAUAGUGAGAAAUACUAAAAAUACUAACUAUUUUUUAUUGCCACCAGGGUUAUCGCCUGUACAAUGAAUCCACAGCUCUUGGGCCCUCUUUUUAUUCUUUCUUCUCUACUAUGUAAGACAGAGAAAAGCUGAAAGGGGGAGAGAGAGAUAGAGAGGAAGAGAAAAAGGGAGACACUUGUAGACUUGCUUCACUGUUGUUGAAACGUCUUCUUCUCUGAAGUGAUGCUGAUGGCUAUUUUGACCUUCAAGAACUCUGGCCUGUGAGGCUAAGAGCUAAUGUGUACUUGCAUCGAUCUGUGUUGGAGACACACAGCAGGUUAGAGGGCCUGUUCUCCAUGAGUACAAAAGCUGCUAUCGUCAAUCAGUAUGUGUUGUGAAAAGGGGCUUGCCGCUGUGACUCAAUAAAUGGGGACAUUAGGAGGAAAUGUUAUAAUUGCUGCUACCCACAUCUUGUUAAUGAGUAAUGUACAGUUAGACUCCAUGCAAUUGCAGCUAAACUGUUUAUACAAUUUAUUCUUAUGUUGCAACUAACAUUUAACAUAAUGAAGUAUCAUAAUUGCAACCAUUAAAGUCAAGAUUAAGAUUUGUUUAAUUAGAAUUAAGAAAAUGUAAAAUAGGAAACUACUUUCAAAUGCUGGGUCUACAGGAUGGAUUCAAUGGUAUGGGGAGGGGAGACUCAUAGGGCACAGGACUGUAAACACAGGACUGUUUGUUGGAGGUCUCUUCUUUGGAUUUUGUUUUUCAAUGCUCUAGUCAAAAGUUUAAAGAAAACAAAACAUAAAGGGUAUUCACUUGGCCAUGAGUAGAGUGUUAUUAUUCAGAUCGUUAGAAUUGUAGCUUUUUAAAUUCCAGAAUUUACAUUACCUCAAGGCAAAACAAAUAAUAUCUUAAAACACACAACUCACAUAACCAUCAACGCAAGUUAUCCAAUGAAUUAGGAAGGAAAUAAGCCUCUGACUUUGUAUAGAAAAUGUCAUAACUUUGUAAAGCCAAAUGGACAUAAACCUCUAUUUUAAUUAUCUGCAUGUCCAAGCACAGGCACUUAUAUAAUAUGAUAUUUUUAUAUAAGCGAAGGGACAAAACAUGGCUAAUGGAAUGUUGUGAGGAAAUGUGGCUGUCCAAAUCCAUUAAGUGAAACCAUUUCAUUGAGGUCAUGUCCUGUUUCCCUUCCUUUAAAUGCUGAACAGUUAGAUUCAAGGUGCUCCCCACAACAGAGUUAUGCUGGGUUUUCUCUGUCUCAGAACUAUUUGUUCAUAUUCUAAUAGCACCCAUUUCUUUCUCUCUCUCUCUCUCUCCUGCUCUCUUUUAACUUUUUAAAAAUUAUCAUUAUUUAUUGGAUAGAGAUAGUCAGAAAUCGAAAGGGUAGGAAGAGGGAGAGGGAGAGGGGGAGAGGGAGAGGGAGAGAGAGAGAGAGAGAGAGAGAGAGAGAGACUUGCAGUACUGCUUCAUCACUUGCAAAGCUUUCCCCUUGCAGGCGAGGACUAGAGUCUUGAACUUGGGUCCUUGCACACUGUAACAUGUGUGCUCAACCAGCUGCACCACCACCUGGCCCCUCUUUCUCUUCCUUCCUUCCUUCCUUCCUCCCUUCCUUCCUUCCUUCCUUCCUUCCUUUUUUUUUUCUUUUAUUUUUUGUCACCAUGGCUUUACUGCUCUGAUAGGAGGUAGAGACAGAGAGACAAGGAGAGGAGGGAAAGAUACCAUCGUACUGAAGAUUCCUCACAUACAGUGGAGACGGGGACUUGAACCAGGUCGGAUGAUGCUAUAAGAGGCCCAGGAAAGGGGCUCUGGGUCUGUGAAAGGAGCUCUGGCCUAUUUAGGCAUCUUGUAUCACAUUCUCUGAAAUCUCAUGCCUUUGUUAAGCACUGAGGUUGUCUCCUCAAAAUGUGAGGAUUCUUUAAAUGCUUACAUAGUUGAAGAUACUCUGAAAUGUGAACAUACCCUGUGAAUGCAAUUUGUGAUUCAGUUCAAUGAGAAUGAGAGAUACCAGUUUCACUAACUGAAUCCUUAUCUCCUUGAAUGGAGUAAAAAUGGGUAAUUUUGCAUUAUUCUCAAAAGAAACACCUUAAUAUUCUUUUUUCUUACAUCUUAUAUCUAUAAUACUGAGGAGGUGCUCAAUGUCAGUCAAGUUAUCAGUUCCAUCAAUAAUAAUAUCAAGUCUUUGGUAUAAACAUUAAAUCAAAUUUAAGCAAGCACUGCUAAUUAUCUCAAAGAAAACAAAGAUCAUUCAUACCUCCCAAUUUGUUUUUAAGUAAAACUGUAAAAUACUAUAAAAGGAAAAAGCAAGAGAUGACUUGAGUUUUGUGGUAAUGUACAGUUCAAGAUAAUGGUGUUUGAGAAUGCUAAUCUGAUUGGCUUGAAGUUACAGUGUGUAUGCAGUGAUUGAUAUCAGAUUUCAUGACUUACCAUGGCAUUUAUUUGUAUAGCCUUUUUCUUUUUCCUUCCACUAAACUUAAAAUGACAAGUUACUUUCUGUAUAUAUUUACAGUGUUAUAUAUUAUUUGAACUUAUCAACUUGUAGAAACACUUAUGUAUUUCAUAUUGCAAAUAGAAAUAAAUGAAUUCAUUUAA